This 1025-nucleotide long non-coding RNA is filed under the name Strigops habroptila (Kakapo). RNAcentral describes it as "lncRNA (ENSSHBG00005016659.1)". The record is from RNAcentral. Lineage: Eukaryota; Metazoa; Chordata; Aves; Psittaciformes; Psittacidae.
UUUUUUUAUUCACUUUCAUUUGUUUUUAUUCACUUUUUCAUAAUUUAUAAUCGCUUUUAUUCACUUUUCAUUGAAUUUCUUCAGUUUAAUUCACUAUUUGGUUUUUAGUCACUUUUUGCUCACUUUUAUUCAAGUUGUAUUCAGGUUGAUUCACUUUUUAUUCCCUUUUUAAUCACAUUAUGGUGGGUCUGGGCGUGAGGUCAAGGUGGGGCUAAUAAAGGCCUGGGGGCGUGGUCUGUGCUGUGGGAGGGGCUAAUGUAGGAGGGUGGGUGUGGUCUAGGCUGAGGGAUAGGUCGUACCAGGGGAUGAGGCCUCUGUUGGGGUGGGCCAAUGAGGGACAAGGGGCGGGGACUCGGGUGAGGGUGUGAUCGAGGCUGUGGCUGGGGCCAGGACUAGUGAGGGGUGGAGCUGUGGUGUAGGCAAGGGGCGGGGACAGUUCUGGGGGCGUGGUCUAGGCUGGGGCUAGGGCCGUGGCCGGGGUGGGGUCUCAGCUAGGAGCAGGGCUCAGGGAGGCCCGGGAUUCGGGGGCUUUGUGACAGAGGGCGUGGCUUGGGUAGGUGCGUGGUCAGGGCUCUGGGCGGGGUUAGUACAGGGCGGGGGGCGCGGCCCAAAGAGAGCGGAGCCAUACUUAGGGGCGUCUCCUUGGCAAGGGAUGUGGGUGUGGCCAAGACGGGGCUGGGUGGGAAGGUCUGAAGCAGGCCCGAGAUGGGACCAUGCUGGGGGGUGUGGCCAGGGCUGGGGGGCGGGACCAGAGCUGGGGUCGAUGAAGGCCUGGGGGUGUGCUUAGGCUGGAAGUGUGGUUCCAUGCUGGGCGUGGGCCCAGCCACGGGUGGGUGGGGCUAUGGGAGGGGCGGGAUCACUACAGAGAGCAGGAUGAAACGAGGGAAAGGUUAAAAACCACAGAUGGGCAGCAAGAUAGAGGAAGACAGAGAAAACCAGCGAGCAAAAAGAGCAAGAGAAGAAGAAUUAUAUUGCAGUGUAGGGAGAAAGACUGGGACACUUAAAAGGAUGGUCUGGGGGACACA